This is a long non-coding RNA of Balaenoptera musculus (blue whale), 1422 nucleotides long. RefSeq lists it as uncharacterized. The record is from RefSeq and is a predicted model, not a curated record. NCBI's taxonomy places the organism in Eukaryota, Metazoa, Chordata, Mammalia, Artiodactyla, Balaenopteridae. The transcript is spliced from 3 exons.
CCUGACCACACCCUCCCACUUUUCUAGGCCUCGGACCUCAACCUCGUGGACUACGGAGCGGAGAGGGACACUUCGGGCCACUCGGAGGGUGGCACCGAAGUCAGGCGUCCCCAAGGGCUCUGGCGGAUGGCCAAGUUUGUGUUCUUUCCAUCCCACGCCGGAGUAGCGCUCGCUACUUUGGGGAAGCUUCAGAUUCCUCAACCCCGGCCACGAGGCCACCCCUGUCUUUAAGACCACAUAAGGAACACCAUGAUCCGUGCAUCUGUGCAGCUUGUUCCAGAGUCCCAGCCCUCACCAGCUGUGAGGUCACAUCUCUUGGAAGGCAGUCAUCUACCUCAACCAACAGCUCCGAGAUGCUGGGCAGCGGGACCAUAUCUGCCAUUUGGAGAGCUGCUGCUGGUGCUCUGGGCUGUCCUGCUCCUUCCGGUAGCCAAAGAGAGGAUGCGAUUUUUAAAAAUUCAUAUAUUCAGAUGAAGAAAAUGAAGAUCAGGGCGGCUACGUCACUCGACCAGGAUCGUGCAGCCAGCAAGUUGGGUGCCAGGACUCAAAGCAGGUCUUUCAUGAGAAGAACUCUUGUUUUUUUCUUUUGUCUCUUCCAGUCCCUCCCUCUCUGUCCUCACCCCACCAUCCUCUAUCCCGGAGGUUCUCGACUUGGCCAUAUAUUGACAUCACCUGGGGAGCUUUAAAAACUAAUAUUGCUGUUAGGCCUCCACCCUAGGAAACUGAAUCUCCGGGGUGUGACUUCAGCAUCUGUACUUUUUAUUCCCUCUUCACAGGCAGCCUUACCCAGAUUCCUUUGCGAUUCCAAAUGUUUCUGAUGCAUGCAUUUGCACUAAGGUGUUAGUAACUGGAUGUGUUACCUUUCUCAGGGUGUCUGCAUUUGAAAAAAGAGCCAAGGACAUAAAAUAAUGAAUUGCAUAAGCAUCUUAGCGAGUGGGAGAGACCAGCUUUUGAUCUCCUUUCUCACACUUGCAGCAGAUUUAUUGCCCUCACAUGUCCUGCUAGGAAUCUACCCAGCAGUCUUGGCUGAGAUUUCUGAAUAUGCUGUGGCUUUUUGAGGGGCUUUUUGGGCUAGAAGAACUUGAAUGAAUCAUUUUUGAAUGCCCUUAAGCCAUCAGCCUUGCCCACAGAGGGCAGUCAGUUCAAUUCUAACUAGCAAGCAAAACCAAAAUUAUUCGCCCAAAAUGUUUUUGCUGUUGUUGUUUUUUUUAACCAUUCAAUGAUGAAUCUUCCCCUGUCAGACCUUUCCCAGUGCCCAUCCAAACAUACUCAGGCACAGAAAUUGAGGUGGUACGUAUCUAAACCGUAAGUUAGAGUCAUUUCCCAGAUCCCAAUUCAGUCAAAUUUCAGGAGACCCUUACUGUGGCUAAUUUUAGGACAUGACAAGAUUUUGACGUUGACGCCCCCUUUUAAUUUUUUUAA